AAAAGUGAAAGACGGUCUUGCUGUCACUUAUAGAUGGAUCCGCGCUGCAUUAGCUAGUUGGUAAGGUAACGGCUUACCAAGGCAACGAUGCAUAGCCGACCUGAGAGGGUGAUCGGCCACACUGGAACUGAGACACGGUCCAGACUCCUACGGGAGGCAGCAGUAGGGAAUCUUCCGCAAUGGGCGAAAGCCUGACGGAGCAACGCCGCGUGAGUGAUGAAGGUCUUCGGAUCGUAAAACUCUGUUAUUAGGGAAGAACAUAUGUGUAAGUAACUGUGCACAUCUUGACGGUACCUAAUCAGAAAGCCACGGCUAACUACGUGCCAGCAGCCGCGGUAAUACGUAGGUGGCAAGCGUUAUCCGGAAUUAUUGGGCGUAAAGCGCGCGUAGGCGGUUUUUUAAGUCUGAUGUGAAAGCCCACGGCUCAACCGUGGAGGGUCAUUGGAAACUGGAAAACUUGAGUGCAGAAGAGGAAAGUGGAAUU
RNAcentral lists this ribosomal RNA (484 nucleotides) under Staphylococcus aureus. RNAcentral describes it as "bacterial SSU rRNA". It matches the Rfam family "Bacterial small subunit ribosomal RNA", at positions 196 to 668 of the family's 1533-position model. Lineage: Bacteria; Bacillati; Bacillota; Bacilli; Caryophanales; Staphylococcaceae. The record is from RNAcentral.